GAUGUGAGGGCGAUCUGGCUGCGACAUCUGUCACCCCCUUGAUCGCCAGGGUUUUUUGGCUGAUCUGGCUGGCUAGGCGGGUGUCCCCCUCCUCCCUCACCGAUCCAUGUGCGUCCCUCCCGAAGCUGCACGCUCCGUCAAAGAGGAUGACCUUCCCCCCGAGGCGAGGACCGGUCUUCGGUCAAGGGUAUACAAGUAGCUG
Molecule: small nuclear RNA, 202 nt
Filed under: Myotis brandtii (Brandt's bat)
Lineage: Eukaryota; Metazoa; Chordata; Mammalia; Chiroptera; Vespertilionidae
Description: 7SK RNA
Rfam family: 7SK RNA
About the family: 7SK was discovered as an abundant small nuclear RNA in the mid-70s but a possible function has only recently been suggested. Two independent studies have found that 7SK RNA binds the CDK9/cyclin T complex (known as elongation factor P-TEFb). P-TEFb activates transcription by phosphorylating the C-terminal domain of RNA polymerase II.
Source: Rfam by way of RNAcentral